This 222-nucleotide non-coding RNA is filed under the name Bradyrhizobium sp. Lineage: Bacteria; Pseudomonadati; Pseudomonadota; Alphaproteobacteria; Hyphomicrobiales; Nitrobacteraceae. The record is from RNAcentral.
AAAUGGUGACCCGGCGUUGGUUCCUGUCCUAUGACAGGCGAAGAGGGAAUGCGAUAGGGUCCGAAUCUGCAAGAUUCGGGUUCAAACUGCAGCCGCCCCCGCGACCGUGACCGGAGAGAUGUCCGAAGCCACUGAUCCCCCAGGGGAUCGGGAAGGCGGGGAUCGAAGGGCCAAAAGCCCUGCUCCGCAAGCCGGGAGACCUGCCAGCGCGGACGAUUUUUG